GACGAACGCUGGCGGCGUGCUUAACACAUGCAAGUCGAACGGAAAGGCCCUGCUUUUGUGGGGUGCUCGAGUGGCGAACGGGUGAGUAACACGUGAGUAACCUGCCCUUGACUUUGGGAUAACUUCAGGAAACUGGGGCUAAUACCGGAUAGGAGCUCCUGCUGCAUGGUGGGGGUUGGAAAGUUUCGGCGGUUGGGGAUGGACUCGCGGCUUAUCAGCUUGUUGAUGGGGUAGUGGCUUACCAAGGCUUUGACGGGUAGCCGGCCUGAGAGGGUGACCGGCGACAAUGGUACUGAGAUACGGCCCAGACUCCUACGGGAGGCAGCAGGGGGGAAUAUGGCACAAUGGGCGGAAGCCUGAUGCAGCAACGCCGCGUGCGGGAUGACGGCCUUCGGGUUGUAAACCGCUUUCGCCUGUGACGAAGCGUGAGUGACGGUAAUGGGUAAAGAAGCACCGGCUAACUACGUG
RNAcentral lists this ribosomal RNA (468 nucleotides) under uncultured bacterium. RNAcentral describes it as "partial 16S ribosomal RNA". It matches the Rfam family "Bacterial small subunit ribosomal RNA", at positions 28 to 507 of the family's 1533-position model. The record is from RNAcentral.